This 253-nucleotide ribosomal RNA is filed under the name uncultured bacterium. RNAcentral's name for it is "partial 16S ribosomal RNA". It matches the Rfam family "Bacterial small subunit ribosomal RNA", at positions 524 to 776 of the family's 1533-position model. The record is from RNAcentral.
GACGUAGGGCGCGAGCGUUGUCCGGAUUUAUUGGGCGUAAAGAGCUCGUAGGCGGCUUGUUGCGUCGACCGUGAAAACCCGUGGCUCAACUACGGGCUUGCGGUCGAUACGGGCGGGCUGGAGUUCGGUAGGGGAGACUGGAAUUCCUGGUGUAGCGGUGAAAUGCGCAGAUAUCAGGAGGAACACCGAUGGCGUAGGCAGGUCUCUGGGCCGAUACUGACGCUGAGGAGCGAAAGCGUGGGGAGCGAACAGG